The submitters of this non-coding RNA (100 nucleotides) gave its source as unclassified sequences. The record is from Rfam.
CUGACGGGCGCGUCCGGGUCAAUUGCGGACUGCAACACCCGAUCUCCCUGCCGGUACCGCCGACGAUGGCGGUGUCGGAAGGGGAACGCGUCACCAUCAG